This 167-nucleotide microRNA precursor is filed under the name Medicago truncatula (barrel medic). Its description in RNAcentral is "MIR2619 microRNA precursor family". It matches the Rfam family "MIR2619 microRNA precursor family". Lineage: Eukaryota; Viridiplantae; Streptophyta; Magnoliopsida; Fabales; Fabaceae. The record is from Rfam by way of RNAcentral.
AAACAGCCCCCUAUGUUUUGAUUCUUUGGCAGUUUUGGACCCCAGUCCAUUGUUGACUCGGUCAACGCUGACGUGGCACCCUAAGUGAGGUGCCACGUGUCAAUUUUAUUUUAUUUUUGCCUUGGGGGUCCAAAAUUGCCAAAGAAUCAAAACAUAGGGGGCUGUUU